UGAGCUGGCUAAGCAGUCGCUGGCGGCCGCGCGUCUUUUGGCGUGGGCCGCGAGAGGAAAGUCCGGGCUCCACAGGACAAGGUGCCAGGUAACGCCUGGGAGGCGUGAGCUUACGGAAAGUGCAACAGAGAGUAGACCGCCUAAGGCGCCGCGCGCGUAUGCACGCGGCGAACGGUAAGGGUGAAAGGGUGCGGUAAGAGCGCACCGCGUGCGUGGCAACACGGUACGGCUAGGUAAACCCCACUUGGAGCAAGGCCAAAUAGGAAUCCAACGGUGUGGUCCGCACGGGAUUCGGGUAGGCCGCUCGAGGUCUUCGGCGACGGAGACCCUAGAUGAAUGACUGCUCUCGGAGGCGUUUCGGCGCUUUCGAUGACAGAACCCGGCUUACCGGCCAGCUCAAAUU
Molecule: RNase P RNA, 403 nt
Filed under: Gammaproteobacteria bacterium
Lineage: Bacteria; Pseudomonadati; Pseudomonadota; Gammaproteobacteria
Description: RNase P RNA component class A
Rfam family: Bacterial RNase P class A
About the family: Ribonuclease P (RNase P) is a ubiquitous endoribonuclease, found in archaea, bacteria and eukarya as well as chloroplasts and mitochondria.
Source: RNAcentral